Molecule: ribosomal RNA, 317 nt
Filed under: uncultured bacterium
Lineage: Bacteria
Description: partial 16S ribosomal RNA
Source: RNAcentral
UACCUUGUCGACUUCACCCCAAUCGCCAACCACACCGUGGACGGCUGCCUCCCUUGCGGGUUGGCCCACCGGCUUCGGGUACAGCUGACUUUCGUGAUGUGACGGGCGGUGUGUACAAGGGCCGGGAACGUAUUUACCGCGUCGUUCUGAUACGCGAUUACUGGGGAUUUCACCUUUAUGCAGUCGAGUUGCAGACUGGAAUCCGAACUGAGGCCGGCUUUUUGGGAUUGGGUGCCCCUCGCGGGUUUGCAGCCCUUUGUUCCGCCCAUUGUUGGCACGUGUGUCGCCUGCGGCAUAUGGGGCGUGGCGGCUUGGGG